RNA transcript from Fundulus heteroclitus (mummichog), 2199 nucleotides. RefSeq lists it as uncharacterized. The transcript has 6 exons. NCBI's taxonomy places the organism in Eukaryota, Metazoa, Chordata, Actinopteri, Cyprinodontiformes, Fundulidae. The record is from RefSeq and is a predicted model, not a curated record.
AGUUGGUGGCGGUAAUGCACCAAGUUGGUAUGCCAACUGCCAUUAAAUUUAAAGAAGAAGAAGAACAUCAGCCUGCAAACCGUUCCGUAGCCUCAGACUCUGCACAAAAGGACCAGAUGGCUCUGUGACAUGGUUUCAGUUCUGUGCAAGGAACCCCUAUCACGCCGUGGAAGAUUGUUCUUGACACCGAGGAGAUUUAUCUUGCGUUGACAGACACGCCUAAGCACACCUAAGCAAGAGCAAAGAUGGCACAACCCCCUGGUUUGUUGCUAAGGGUCUAUAUUAAUGCAGACACAGCUCACAAGGUCAUCUUACCAACCAGACCAUCCACAUUAGAUGAACUGAUAUCAUUUAUGCAAGAGAGGUUUCACUUAGAAGGCCAUUUUACUCUUCAAUAUGAAGACCCUGACUUUGAUGGAGAACUCUGCGUCUUGACAGAGAUGUCAGAGUUGCCCUCAAAGGCCGUGGUCAGGAUAAUAAGACCAGACUCAAAUUCAAAUGACUCCCCUCCCACAGAAUUCACUACCCAGACCCAGGAACGCACUCAGAGACGGCCCAAUGAGUUCCCAGUUCCAACAUUUUCUUAUGAUGUGGAACACAUACUUGAGGCAGGUAACACUGCAUAUAAUGCCACACAAACACCCAUAAAACUCACAAAAGGGCAGAAACAUAAUGUUUUAGAAAAAAUGGCUGAGGUCAUUUUUAGUUUCAAUGCCUAUGCCGGUGAACACGAAUUGGCAAAAGCUGCAGAGGCAUUAGUGCGCAAACACCCUUGCCUAAAACAGCGUGGGAGUGAUUGUGGUUGGUUGGCUUGGCAGACCAGCUUAUUUUUUAAAAUGGGUAACUACCGUCACAAGUUGAGUAGAGCUGGGUGUCUAGAGGUAGCAGUUAACUCAGGCAAAAGAAGCCAGUCUAACCCUGAUGGAGCAGCAUCCCAUGCAAACAUAAAAAAAGCUUGCAGAGCUGAGCUAAAUUACUUGCCAAACUUCCCCAAAGGAGAAAAUGCCACUAGUUCUGAACAGUUCAGACUGCAGCUUCUUGAAGAAAUUUCAAGGGCCGAGACAGAUCCAGUUUUAAUUGAUAGGCUUAUGAACACUACCUUUGCACUGCGCAGAAAGCACAUUAUUGUGGACAACCCGUCACAACCUGUGAGUGAAGUCCUGGAAAAUUGGCCUUCUCUUCGAAUGGAGUCACAAAUUUGUGCAGAAUUCCAUCGAAUAACAAAUAUAAAUUUAAAGAGUACAUUUUAUUCUGCAUUUGAUAAGUACAUGCCACGGCUAAUGACGAUGUACCGUGAGAAAGCGGCCCGCACUGGCAAAACUUCUGAAUUGCUAAGAAACAUCUUCAAGACCUAUGAUCUCCUCGUCUGUAACAUUUCCUACCUCAUGACAAUUUGUACUAUAGUAUUAUUUAAUAUAUGCAUAUGAUUAAUAUUCUGCUUAUUCUGCAAUUUUGUCUUCCCAUUACCCACAAUCCCUCUGUCUUCUAGGAAGACGUCGAUGUUAACAGCAGACGCACAAUUGCACUGCAGGCACUUCCCAUCUUCCUGCGUGAAGAUGCUGCUGGAUUUUUUAAGACCUGGAAUGCAGAAGACAUUGACCUGCCAGACCUCUCGGAUACAACUCUAGGUGUUCUCACUGUCUCGAAUGAUACAGUCUCCCUUGUGAAGUUUGGUCCUGCAAUACAUUCUAUAGUUCUUGAGGGAGAUAUUGUGGUACGUGAUAUAGCACAGUUGACAGAGGCAUUCAUUUUGCUUUUUGGCUUGAUUUAUGCACUACAUCUACAGUAUCCAAAGAAAUUGACAUAUACAUUCAAUUUUAUUCAGAAAGUUGUAAUGAGUUUGGAUGACCUGAAGCGGUUACCUCCAAGACUGCUUAGCCUUAAAAAUGAUCUGAUGAUGGAUGAGUAAGCAGUGUGCUUAAAAUAUGUCGUUGUUACUACCAGCAUGGUGAUACUCAAGCAACCAUUUUGUUUUUGUUUUUUGUUUUUGCUUUUUUAUUUAUGUUGGCCUAUUAUUGUUGGCCUAUUAUUUUUGGAUCGGCCUAUUAUGUUGGCCUGUUUUUUGUUUUUGAGUAUUAAUACCUUUAUUGAAAAUGUGGUUGUUAUUUAUUUUAUUUUCUGUAUUAACCCCAUUGCUGGGGACAUUGUUCUGAAUUCUAAUGGAAUUCAUAAAUAAAUGGAAUCUGCAGUAAAAUUGUC